Molecule: non-coding RNA, 2483 nt
Organism: Pimephales promelas (fathead minnow)
Lineage: Eukaryota; Metazoa; Chordata; Actinopteri; Cypriniformes; Leuciscidae
Source: RefSeq, a predicted model, not a curated record
UAGUAUUCAUCAUGGUAUAGGCUGCUCUUCAACACCCCUUAUCGUUUAGAUCAUCAAGCCAAUCAACGUAUUCAAUUGUAGACUACUCUAUUUCUCACAUUAUAUAGUGGGCAAUCAAUGAUUCAGUUGUUUUUGGAUAAGACUAGCAAAGUAGCUGAUGAGAGCCGUUAUUAAGAAGCAGUGACCAUGCUUUUGUUAAAACAAAAAAAAAAGUGCUACACUGAAAUAGCAAAGCAGAAUUACAAUUUUUAAAUGUUUUUGGUUGGCACACUUUUCCCGCUUCAUCAGCCUUAUAUAUUUUUUAUGCUCUAAAAAAAUGUAAGUAUGUUCACCUGGAAAUAUGUGGCGAUGUGCAUUAGUGUGAGUGCAUAUAACUCUUAAUAGGUUGUGUUCUGAAAUGUGACACCACAUUUAAGCACACUGUGUAGCAGUCAGUAUUUAUGGAUCAUGCCAGUUCAUUUCAUUUCCGAUUUUUGGAAUUACAGAUGUCCAAUCAACAGAAUAUGAACCUGGGAGAUGUUUAUGAUUGAUUUGUUGAAAUUUUGACAUUUAUCUUACUAAUCUUUUAAUAAUGCACGGGGGAAACCUGUUAUAAUAAAUUGUUUACAAUUUUUUCAGAGGAACAUUCUUAAAAAUGUGCACCAUCAAAUGAGUUUGAGAUCAGUGAUGCUAAGAAUUCCACUUUUUGCAUAUUUGUUUCCUGUUGGACAAGCCAACUGUCAGCUUUAGAUCAGAUUCUUGUUUGAAGAGCAGUGGAGCACAGAUUACGGUAAUUCUAAUCUUAAACAUUGUAUUUUAUGUCAUGCUUGUGAGGCUCAGCUCUGUUAUAAAUAACUAAAUUACUUACUGAGUUGCAGUGAGAAAGGAGAUAAAUACGGUGAGGGGGCAGGACUGUCACAUCUGUGCCAUAGAAGCUGCAAAGACUACAAAUACACAAGGACGCGACUGAGCUCUGGAUUCUCCAAGACAUAAGAAGUAUAGCAGGAAAAGGCCCACGUGACUCAGAAGAUUUAUCCUCAAGGGCAGAACUGAGAGAGACUUUCUGCAUAUUUCAUGAGUCUUCAGCAUUAAAGCUACACAUCAGAUAUUCAGCCCAUCUUGGACUUCUAAAGAGCAGUAUUUACCCUCAAUUUCACAGGAUUUUUUGAUUCUAAAAAUAAUCCAUCUGUGGGUGUGUACCAGGAUGCCCACCAUCCGCCGCACACUGUGUCCACUUUCCUCUGGGACUCAUGCCUAGUGCCAGGGGCAUCAGCCACCCAGACACUACUGUCAGCAUCGGGACACGGGGUCAGAGAGAGGGAAACCAGGAGAAUUACAGAGAGAGAUGGAGAGAGAAUGUGUUUUAGAGGGAGGGCAGGAGGAGGAAGAGAGAAAAACAGGAACAAACCGGAUUCUCCAUCCUGUAGGAGACAGACAGACCGACGGGUCUGGUAGGGAGGCUGGAGGUUUGUUCUCCUUGAAAAAACAGACAGCAACUCUGUAUUUUUUCAAAAUCAGCAAGAGAUGUAGAGGUGUCAGCAGAUGCAUAAUGCAACAGGGCGUCAACUCGUAGCAGACAGUCAGUUAAGUACCACACACACACACACACACACACGUUUACAGUGUGUGUAAUGGGGCGGUCUUUUUUUCUUCACAAUCCAUCAUUUCUCUGCAGACCCCCUGCUCAGAAACUCUUUACACCAGAAUGGUGUGGUUGUGUCUUUCACUCACUCUCUUUCUUGCCUAUAGGAAAGUGAAUAUUUUAUCAUCAGAAACGGCCAUCCUCAGACCUAUUCAUAGUUUAGUCCCUAAUGAGUAAUUCAUUUGAGGCUUCUGCAAAAAAUAUGUAUGCAUAAUUAAUGGAUUAUGAUCUUUAAGUAUUCAUGAGCCACUCACUACAUGGGUGAAACACCCUCCAAGGUCCUUGUGGCUGCAUGGUCUGAGAUAAGUAUUGAGAUUUAUAUUUUAGAUGUGUAUUUCUAAGUCCUGUUGUACUUAAAUUAGCUUUGUAAUUGAUUAUUUUCACUUAUUUGCUGGACAUCAUGAGUGAAGCUAAAGUGUAGCCUAACUGUAACUCUGACUAAGGUUCAACUUCUGCCUUCCUCAUCCAUCAUCAUCAUAAAAGCUGCAACAUUAGUCCUUUUUUGAUCUAAUUGAUCAAUGGAUAAUGUCCAUUGUUUGAGCUUUAAUAACACACUUUUUUUGUCUUUAACAAUUCAAUUUUAUUAUUAAACUUAAAAACAUUUUUAAAUUCAUAGUGACAAAUAUUCUGUUUCCCUCCCAUUUGUAUCCUCCCAAAAUUGUUUUUCAAUUUUAUUAAAACAUGCAUUGAUUCAUUAUAUGAGUUCUGCAGCCUAUGUUUCGGAGAUUAUGUUGGUUUUUGUGAAAAAAAAAAACUUUUUUUUCCCCACUUCAACUAAAUGCUAUGUAUGAAAAAGCACUUUGCAUCUUUUUAAUCAAACGUUUUCUUUUACCUUCCUUUAACUACACUAAACCAUCCUCAG